GCUUUCCGCCUGCCUCUCGCGUGCGCUCUCAAUGACUUUCCGAGCGCUCUCCCUCGUAUUCCGCGUCCUUCCCUGCUCUUCCCGCUCUGCCGAGUCCCCUUCUGCGCCUCUCCUCGCCUCCGCCACCAGUCUGGAAAGGUAAUGGUCAAUAGACCAGACUUAAAGAAAUGGGCAAAUAUAAGAAAACUCUGCAGCAAGAAGAAGCUAACACUAUUUGUUGUAAGUUUAUUGCAAUAUGGUGUGAAACAUGUGGGUGAAUGUCUGUGGGAUGUAACACAAUAUGGCUUUGCACAUUGCAUCUCCAACCUAAAUAAACUCAUACUGACCAAA
This is a long non-coding RNA of Betta splendens (Siamese fighting fish), 330 nucleotides long. RefSeq lists it as uncharacterized. NCBI's taxonomy places the organism in Eukaryota, Metazoa, Chordata, Actinopteri, Anabantiformes, Osphronemidae. The transcript has 2 exons. The record is from RefSeq and is a predicted model, not a curated record.